Molecule: transfer RNA, 72 nt
Filed under: Sinorhizobium phage phiM12
Lineage: Duplodnaviria; Heunggongvirae; Uroviricota; Caudoviricetes
Rfam family: tRNA
About the family: Transfer RNA (tRNA) molecules are approximately 80 nucleotides in length. Their secondary structure includes four short double-helical elements and three loops (D, anti-codon, and T loops).
Source: Rfam by way of RNAcentral
GACGAGAAGGCAGAAGGGUUAUGCGCGGCGUUGCAACCGCCGUAUGUGUCGGUUCAAGUCCGGCUCUCGUCU